GCAUUCACCAGAAGCUGAGUGUUGUGGGGUAUGGUGUAGCCACAUAUUUCGACAUCAUUUUUGGCUUUGUAAGGUAGGAGAAGAGGAACGGCAGGAUGAAGGCGCAUUGUCUCUUUGACCACAGCUUCAAGAUAUGGGAGUUUAUCGAGGUCUGAUUCUUGAACAGUUCUUUUAGUUCCAAUGACUUCCAUUAGUUCCCUUCUUGUUUUUUGUAGCACUCCAGGUUUUCUAAGGAGUUCUGCCAUCGCCCAUUCUGUUGUUAUUGCAGAUGUAUCACUUCCAGCAAUGAAUAAGUCCUGUUUAAUAUUUAAUUUUAAAAUUAAAUUUGUGAACUGAGAAAACGUAAAAUUGAAUGACAUCUGAACACUUAACAUAUAUACAUAUACAAUAUAACAAUAUAACCAAUAAAUAAUGAAAUAUAUUGUUUAAAACUAAUUAAUAAUAAUAUAUAAAAUUUGUAUGAUAUUAAAAUAAAAAUAUCGAAUAUUAAUAAUUUUAACAUUAAAAUAAAUUAAUUUAACAAUAUAUAUAAAAUAAAUAUCAUGUAAGAAAUUAAUAAUAAUAUUAUUAUUUAAAUUAUAUUAAUAUUCAUGAUGAAUUUUUAUAUUACUUUACUAUUAAAUAUCAUUAAUAUAAAUGAUUUUAAAUUAGUAAGAUUUUUAAAAAAUAUUUUAUAAUUACAUUACAUUUUCAAUUUAUUAAUGAUUUUUUGAAUAAAUUCACUAAUUUUUUUAACAAAAACUAAUAUUAUAAAAAAAUAUUAUAAAUAUAGGGGAGGGCAUUUUCGGGCGCUGACCUUUCUAAAAUGAUAAAUUUAGAUUUUAAUUUCUCUAAAAAUAAUAAAAAAUAUUUUAAUUAUUUUAAAAUUAUAAAUAUAUAAAUUAAUAAAAAUAUACAAUUUAAUUUUCUCAAUUUUCCUGGACACUUCAUCUCAGAGUAAGGUGUGUCGCUGAAAUCCUAAGAAAGAGUAAGGCUUUCGCUAACUCUUUAAUAUAAAAACAAGCUAUCUGCCUAGUAUAGAAUCUCAGAUUUGGACAGUUGUCCUACUUAAAUCCCAAAAAUGGACAUCUUGGAACAAUAAUGGUUCAAAUUCUUACUGAAUUAGUUGAGUUGGUUGGACUUUUCUUUUAAUGAUGGGUUGAAUUAAUAUUUAAAUUGAGUUAAAAGAUAUUUAUAAACAACAGAAAGUAACCCUUACUUGCUUAUUUUAUUUUUUAAUAUAAUUAAAGUAUUUUUUAUGUUUAAUUUAUUAUAUAAAAAUUUUAAAAUUUUUACUAAAAAUGCAAUGAGUUUUACUUUCACAUUUGCUAAUUUAUUUUAUUAUAGGUUAGGGAGUUGCUGGUAAUUCAUCAACAAAUAUCAAUAAUUCAGUAGUAGGCUACCAGAUCCACUUUUUAUAUUUAAAAAUGUCAACUAAAAUUUUAUCUUAUUAUAUCUUAUAAUAAUAAUUUAAACGAGAGGAAGUAACAAUGUCGACAUCUUUCAUACCCCAGUUUCUAAAAGCAUUUUUCUUGUGUCUGAAGGAAUGAAAUUAUUUUCUUAUUAUUUAUGAAAAUGAAAUAAGCGAAAAUCUUACCAGGAUCAAAGGCUUGAUAUUUUGGCGAGUGAAGUCAGACCCAUCCUGUUGGCACUGAUCAAGCAGAACAUCCAACAAAUCACCAUUUCUGGACACGGAAUCUGAAGCUCUAACCUCCAUUCUUUCAUCUAUCAUCUCAUCAAAUAUCUCA
This 1727-nucleotide long non-coding RNA is filed under the name Gossypium raimondii (Peruvian cotton). RNAcentral describes it as "long non-coding RNA (GRAI_LNC006768)". The record is from RNAcentral. Lineage: Eukaryota; Viridiplantae; Streptophyta; Magnoliopsida; Malvales; Malvaceae.